GCGAUAACAGGGUGAACAAUAAUUUUUAAUUUUUAUCAAAAAUUUGGAAAUUUGAUAAGGCAUUCCGAUCCGGUUGUGUUGAAGAACAAGUGCUAUCAAGAUGUCCAAAAGAACGGAGAGUGAUGAAAUUGAAGAUAGUGAAGAAAUUAGUAGAAUUAAUAAAAAACUGAAAACUUGUUCCUUCAAUUACUUGGAGCAUAAAAUUCAAAAGGAAUAUGGUGGAGGUCUCAUCAUGUGUGUUAAGGAAAAUAAUGCGGAUGACGGAAGUAUUAGUGUUCCAUCUUCUAGUCACUGUCCUUUUCCUGCAAACUCAAAUUUUCAUCCUGAAAAAGACAUUUCAAUAGAAAAGGACGAAAAUUUCGAAGAUUUGAAAACAAAAGAUGAAGAUGAAUUGAGCUUAAGUAACGAGUCUGUCGGCGAUGUCGAAAACUCGGAAGAACUAGAACUUUCAGAACUGGAAGAAUUACUUGACGCAGAUCUCCCAACAGAGUAUAAAAAACCUGCCGAUAGCAUUAUUCAGAAAUUGAACGAAAGAAAAAAGAAAGACGGCGAUUUUGUAGAAGUUGAAAAAAUAAUUUUAGAUGAUAUUACAGGAGAUCAUUUUGAUUUAUUACCAGAAGGAUGGAUGCAAAUGAUACAUCAUAUUGGAAUACCAGUGUAUUUAAACAGACCGACACGAGUUUGCACCUUGGCUAGACCUUAUUUUUUAGGUUCUGGAAACGCCUAUAACCACAGAAUACCUCUUUCAGCAAUACCAUGUUUACAGUAUCGUAAAGCCAUUGAUAAAAUUGCUCAGACUAACAUAGAAGACUGUUCUCGAGUCAUUGGAAACCUACGAGUGCCUAUCACUAAAGUGGAAACUGUUCACGAAAAUCAUCUCUCACAAUCCUUAGACGCAACAGAGGUUCGAGAAUAUUGCCAAAAAUUAUUCAAGUUUAAGAAGGUUCAUUUAAAACACAGCUCGAAACACAAACAGUCUAAAACAGUGAAAAAUACUAACAUAUUCAAAGACCGUCCAAGUUUACCCGCUGGCACGAAAUUGAUUUCUUUUCCGAUUUUCGAAAGAGACGGAAAAGGAGAAGUGAUUCGUCGAAGAGAGUGGAUUAUGAAUCCUAGCGGUAAAAGCUACAUUGCUAUUCUGCACGAAUACUUACAGCAAUCUUUGAAGCUGCAGCCUCUUUACGAAUACAAAGAGAAUGAUAAUAAUGAAUAUGAAGCAAUUGUUUUCUUGAAAGGCAUGGAAUACGGAAAAGGAAAGGGCAGUAGCAAAAAAGAAGCAAAAUUACAAGCUGCAAAAAUCACUUUAGAGAUGUUAAUUCCGGAAUUAGAUGGUAAAGCUGAAGAAAUUUGUGGUUUAAAUGUGAAAAAAGUAAUCAGCAACGAAUCUGUUCUUCAUUCCAACAAUGUAGGUUCAAUUAUAUGUACAUUUCUUUUAUCAAUAUGCUUUUUUAUUCUUCAUUUUUAUAUCGUAAUUUUUGCUUGGCAGAUAUUUGAUGAAAUUAAAAUCACUGAUCCAAGAGUUGCAGAAUUUUGUGCCAGAACAACUGAACCUUCCCCGUAUUCUAUGUUACUCACAUGUCUGCGGAGAAAUUGUGGUACGAUUGAGGUGAAAAUAAAUUAUAACGUCAGUUUGAAACAUAACAAAAACAAUCAGUUUACUAUGACGGUUGGAAAGCACACGGUAACAGUCCACUGCCGUAAUAAAAGGGAUGGAAAACAAAAGGCCGCUCAAGCUAUUUUACAAGCUUUACAUCCGCAAUUGAAAACUUGGGGAUCCUUGGUACGUUUAUAUGGAAAUAGAAGUAUCAAGAACGCCAAAGAAAAAAAAAUGGAAGAACAAGAAAUUACUCAAUUACAAACACAAGCGAAGAUUAACUCUCCUAAUUACGCUAUUUUAAAUAAACUUAAUGAAGAAUUAGAAAAAUUACUUCGUAAAAAAUUGGAAUUGAAACCGGUUGGAAUGUUGGUUACUUCCGAUGUACCUAGAAGCUCUGGUGUUAAUUUGAAUCCAUUGAAUUACUCUUAGUUUUUAUGUUUUAAUUAUAUGUGUGAAUAUGUUUCACAUUUUUUUUCCAGAAAAUGCAGUUGUAGCUGAUAAUUGCGGAAUCGCAUAAAUUGGUGAUUCAGUUAGAAAUCCUAAUCUGGAAUAACGCGAAAAUGUUGAAUACGUCGAAUAGAAUUUUAUUGCAAAGA
Planococcus citri (citrus mealybug) is the source of this 2193-nucleotide RNA transcript. It is a transcript of the gene named microprocessor complex subunit DGCR8-like, with no coding region annotated. The record is from RefSeq and is a predicted model, not a curated record. The transcript is spliced from 13 exons. Lineage: Eukaryota; Metazoa; Arthropoda; Insecta; Hemiptera; Pseudococcidae.